This 221-nucleotide unclassified non-coding RNA is filed under the name Glomus sp. RNAcentral's name for it is "partial contains 5.8S ribosomal RNA and internal transcribed spacer 2". The stretch from base 1 to 65 matches the Rfam family "5.8S ribosomal RNA", at positions 84 to 154 of the family's 154-position model. The record is from RNAcentral. Lineage: Eukaryota; Fungi; Glomeromycota; Glomeromycetes; Glomerales; Glomeraceae.
GUGAAUCAUCGAAUCUUUGAACGCAAAUUGCACUCUCCUCGGAGAGUAUGCCUGUUUGAGGGUCAGCCUAUAAAAAAUCGACAUCGUUGCUGUUUCGCGGUGGCGUUCGUCGGAAAUUGGGUGAUCUUAAAUCCUUUUGGGUUUUAAGCGAUUUAAAAUUUUCUUUUCGUCUGCAUCGACGUUUCUAUGAUUUUUUUCUUUACACGAUUAAGGUAUCGAUU